AGCAGAAGUCGACCGUGGAGCGCCGGGAGAGACGCGUCGCCUCCAAGAGGACCCGGGAGAAGCAGCAGGUGGAGGCACCAGCCGUGGAUGUGUCCUCCAAGCCAGCGCCUUGCAGUCCUAGGAGAGUGGUGGUGGAGCCUGGUGCGUCUGACCCUGCCCAGCCCCAGGAGUCCACCUUCCAGGAACAUCCCAGCCAGGAUCCUGCCGUCGGUCCGAGCCAUCGCACUCAAUCCGUGAGGGCGUCGCAUUCUCA
Long non-coding RNA from Cololabis saira (Pacific saury), 253 nucleotides. RefSeq lists it as uncharacterized. The record is from RefSeq and is a predicted model, not a curated record. The transcript has 3 exons. NCBI's taxonomy places the organism in Eukaryota, Metazoa, Chordata, Actinopteri, Beloniformes, Belonidae.